Molecule: small RNA, 82 nt
Filed under: human gut metagenome
Description: GA-cis RNA
Rfam family: GA-cis RNA
Source: RNAcentral
UAGGAGAAAGCAUCAUGAACACAGCGAAUGAUUUGGGACGCUUUCGACGACCUGCCGCCGCGCGUAUGCGAGGGGUGGUACU